CCUACGGGAGGCAGCAGUGGGGAAUAUUGCACAAUGGGGGAAACCCUGCUGCAGCGACGCCGCGUGAGUGAAGCAGUAUUUCUGUAUGUAAAGCUCUAUCAGCAUGGGAGAAAAUGACGGUACCUGAUUAAGAAGCCCCGGCUAACUACGUGCCAGCAGCCGAGGUAAUACGUAGGGGGCAAGCUUUAUCCGGAUUUACUGGGUGUAAAGGGAGCGGAGACGGAGGGACAAGUCUGGAGUGAAAUGCCGCGGCUUAACCCCGGAACUGCAUUGGAAACGGUGCAGCUAGAGUGCAGGAGAGGUAAGUGGAAUUCCUAGUGUAGCGGUGAAAUGCGUAGAUAUUAGGAGGAACACCAGUGGCGAAGGCGGCUUACUGGACUGUAACUGACGUUGAGGCUCGAAAGCGUGGGGAGCAAACAGGAUUAGAUACCCUUGUAGUC
This 440-nucleotide ribosomal RNA is filed under the name uncultured bacterium. RNAcentral's name for it is "partial 16S ribosomal RNA". It matches the Rfam family "Bacterial small subunit ribosomal RNA", at positions 338 to 795 of the family's 1533-position model. The record is from RNAcentral.